Non-coding RNA from Physcomitrium patens, 1099 nucleotides. The record is from RefSeq and is a predicted model, not a curated record. NCBI's taxonomy places the organism in Eukaryota, Viridiplantae, Streptophyta, Bryopsida, Funariales, Funariaceae.
GACCAUAACUUCAUCACUUUGCCAAAUGGAAUCAACACACCAACCAACAAAGGAAACUACAACAAAAUGUGUCCGGAGGAUACAAAAAAGCACACCACCCAUACCUACAGUUUAGUUGCCGUAGUGAGAGUUGCAGAUGUGUUUUCCACGACGGGAGUUUGUGGGUUUCCACCGAAGGAUUGGUUUCGAACAAUGAAUGAAACCGUGCAUCAGAAUUGGUGUGCAUUUCCCCAACAAUCCGGUGCAAUUCAUCGUCGUGUACCCAUGUUCAGAUCACCGUUUGUUUCUCGUGGGUCAUGCACCAAAGGCUCAUUCAUGAUCAUCCGGUGUUCAGGCUCAAAGGGAUCGGGUUGAUGUUCAGCUUGCAAGGAGCAUGGAGAAUCACACACAAACUUCCAACUUGUUUGUGGUGAUUGUGAGCAAAUGCCAUGUUCUGUGGUGCAGGCGCAGUUGGGCAUCUACAUCUGAGAGUCGCAAUGGACAUGUUUGUGGUCCCGCUCGUUCCUUUCUUACCAGUGGAUCAUCGUCUGAGGAUUCGGUGUCUUCUGUCCGAAUGACGCUCGAGCAGGAGCUUGCCUACGACUUCGAAGCAUCUAAGAGGAAUCAGACCCUGGUUGCUGAUUUGCAACUCUCUUUUGCAGCAAUACAUAUAUCUUUGCAUACUCGUGUGCUGGACGGAGGUACCUCUUGUGUAAGGUUGGGUUUUCUUCUGUUUUCUUCAUCCUCAGGAAGACCAUCUUGGCUUAGAGAAUGAGAAAUCCGUAGUCCACACGGAUGAUUCGAUGUGAUUGGAAUACUCUUGGAAUAUUUAGAUGACUUAUCGAUUGCAGUUUUGCAGUUUGUAGGUGCCUGACUUAUUUACAUUCGGCAUUAGAACAAGUAGGGAAUCUUUGAACAGACGUUGAGGAAUUUUUUUUUCUUUUGUAAUAACAAAUUUCGAGAAAGCAUUACCCACAAUAUUUUCGUCUGCCUCGUCUUCGACAAGCUCACAGAAGUAGAGAGGCUUGUGGCGAUAAACCAGUGUGGUUUAGGAGUGUUGAUAAGGGACUGUAACUUUUCUCACAUUUUCAGAAACGUACAUCCUCAAACUUUCGAAGUC